UAUGUCCUAUUAGCUAGUUGGCGGGAUAAAAGCCCACCAAGGCAAUGAUAGGUAGCUGGUCUAAGAGGAUGAACAGCCACAAUGGGAUUGAGAUACGGCCCAUAUUCCUACGGGAAGCAGCAGUAGGGAAUCUUCCACAAUGGACGAAAGUCUGAUGGAGCAAUGCCAUGUGAACGACGAAGGCCAGACAGGUCGUAAAGUUCUUUUAGAGGGGAAAAAUCUGAUGGUACCCUCUGAAUAAGUGACAGCAAACUAUGUGCCAGCAGCUGCGGUAAUACAUAGGUCGCGAGCGUUAUUCGGAUUUAUUGGGCGUAAAGCAAGCGCAGGCGGAUGAAUAAGUUCUGCAUUAAAAGCAGCUGCUUAACAGUUGUUUGUGCCGAAUACUAUUCAUCUAGAAUGUGGUAGAAAGUUUUGGAAUUAAAUAUGGAGCGGUGGAAUGUGUAGAUAUAUUUAAGAACACCAGAGGCGAAGGCGAAAACUUAGGCCAUUAUUGACGCUUAGGCUUGAAAGUGUGGGUAGCAAAUGGGAUUAGAUACCCCAGUAGUCCACACCGUAAACGAUGGGUAUUAGAUGUCGGGACUUGAGUUUCGGCGUUGUAGCUUACGUGUUAAAUACCCCGCCUGGGUAGUACAUAUGCAAAUAUGAAACUCAAAGGAAUUGACGGGGACCUGAACAAGUGGUGGAACAUGUUGCUUAAUUCGAUAAUACACGAAAAACCUUACCAAGGUUUGACAUCCUCUGCAAAGCUAUAGAAAUAUAGUGGAGGUUAUCAGAGUGACAGGUGGUGCAUGGUUGUCGUCAGCUCGUGUCAUGAGAUGUUUGGUUAAGUCCCGCAACGAGCGCAACCCUACUCUUUAGUUACUUGUCU
RNAcentral lists this ribosomal RNA (868 nucleotides) under uncultured Mycoplasma sp. RNAcentral's name for it is "bacterial SSU rRNA". It matches the Rfam family "Bacterial small subunit ribosomal RNA", at positions 232 to 1124 of the family's 1533-position model. The record is from RNAcentral. Lineage: Bacteria; Bacillati; Mycoplasmatota; Mollicutes; Mycoplasmatales; Mycoplasmataceae.